Vitis vinifera (wine grape) is the source of this 570-nucleotide long non-coding RNA. RefSeq lists it as uncharacterized. The record is from RefSeq and is a predicted model, not a curated record. The transcript has 3 exons. NCBI's taxonomy places the organism in Eukaryota, Viridiplantae, Streptophyta, Magnoliopsida, Vitales, Vitaceae.
AUUCUAGAGAACGUAAGGUUGGAGUCAGAUUUCAGGGUUGAAGAACAGAUCUCUAUAGGUGAAGAGUAGAUUAUAUUUUUUUCAGAAUUAUUCUUCUCCCAAGCUUUCAAGGACUUCUUUUGAGGACAUCAUGCCACCAAGAAGAGCAGCUUCUUCACAAAACAGUCAGGCUAAUGAUGAUGUACCUCCAGUUGAGGGUUUGCCUCCCGUGAGUGCAGAAGGGAUCAAUAGGUAUCUUGGGACACUAGCUGGUUUAGUUGAACGCCAAGCUCGAACUGUUGGGACUAAUGUUCAGGGACAGUCUUCAUCUUCUAGGGGUAGCUCUUUUGAUGACUUCAAGAAAUUGGGUCCUCCUUACUUUUCUGGUGCUACAGAUCCCACAGAGGCAGAGGCUUGGAUCCUUAAGAUGGAGAAAUUCUUUGGUGUCAAAGAUUGCUCUGAGGAGCAAAAAGCCUCUUAUGCAGCUUUUAUGUUAGAUAAAGAGGCAGAUCAUUGGUGGCGUAUGACUAGGAGACUUUUGGAGGAUCAGGGACCCAUAACAUGGAGACAAUUUAGGGAGGCUUUCUACAA